Long non-coding RNA from Urocitellus parryii (Arctic ground squirrel), 820 nucleotides. RefSeq lists it as uncharacterized. The record is from RefSeq and is a predicted model, not a curated record. NCBI's taxonomy places the organism in Eukaryota, Metazoa, Chordata, Mammalia, Rodentia, Sciuridae.
GACCGGGGAGAAGUGCGCGGAACCGGUCGGAACCAUCUGUGGUCUAGGCAGGGCAUGAGGAAUGUACCAUCUGAGGCCCCGGCCGCGCAGGGCGUCAGGCGCAGACUGUCCACGCGCGGUUAGACGCUCUUUGGGUGCAGACUCCCGCCCUUCCCGCCGCCUUGCUGCCGGAGUUCUGCCGCCCAGGACAACAGUGGGUCUCUCAUGGAGUGCAGAAGAGGAAACCAGCACUUCCUGCAUCGUAAGGCCUCUGAGCUGAGAAGAAUGAAGAGCAGUGGGGCUCUGAGGACCCUCAGUUCUCCAUUCCCAAGCCUCACAUYUUCUCAAGAAAGCARUUCCCACAAUGAAGUCCUAAAGAGAUCAGGUGCAAGAGGCCAGAGGUCCAGUCUCAAGAUGUGCCACAUUCCCUAGAGACUGUGAGGCAGAAUUUGGCAUUGCCCAGCUUCUGGUAGCUUGUUGACCAUCUCUGAUGUCCCUUGGUUUGUAGAAGUAUCACCACAAUCUUACCCUGUGCGGUCACACAGUCCUCUCCCUGCACCUGUGUCUGUGUGUCCCAUAAAUGUGUAUCAAUUUUUGUCAUGUUGGAUUAGAGCCCAACCUAAAACCUCAUUUUAACUUGGUAAAGUUAAAAAUCUACAGGUGAGGACACAUUCUCAGGUACCAUGGAUUAGGACAUCAACCUAUGAAUUUGGGGGGGACAUAAUUUGUGAAAUUGUGAUUCAUAGUAAAAAAUAUACACUUUGAUCUUUGUCUUUGGUGACUGGCACCRAACUCCUUAAAAUCCUUGCUGUUUCCUGAGCAAUAGGGGUGCUGGUAACAU